Molecule: ribosomal RNA, 100 nt
Filed under: Gomphidius flavipes
Lineage: Eukaryota; Fungi; Basidiomycota; Agaricomycetes; Boletales; Gomphidiaceae
Description: partial 5.8S ribosomal RNA
Rfam family: 5.8S ribosomal RNA
About the family: 5.8S ribosomal RNA (5.8S rRNA) is a component of the large subunit of the eukaryotic ribosome.
Source: RNAcentral
UAUGUAAUGUGAAUUGCAGAUCUACAGUGAAUCAUCGAAUCUUUGAACGCACAUUGCGCUCCUUGGUGUUCCGAGGAGCAUGCCUGUUUGAGUGUCAGUA